GGACUAAAAUAUUCAAAAUGCCCCGAACAGGAAAUUGGCCCUUUCACCGUCCUCGAACUGCACUGACACACGCACACAAUCAGACUUUUUGAUGUGCGAAUCAAACUGCUCACAACUCACACACACAAAAACACCUCAAUUUACUGACUCCAUCAUCAUACCCCCUCUCCCCCAACCCUACAUCUCUCUCUAUGGCGAUCGCAGCGGCUCCGUCGAUUUCCCUUGGACCCACUCAUUGUCAUCUCUGCCAUGCAGAAGGGAUUGGUUGCUCUACGUCAUAUGCAGUCACUAGCAAUAGGAUCAAAUCUCCUUUUGAGAGUCAAAGAUUUUCUGAUUGUUCUGGCAUAAGUUACAGAUGCAGAAGUCCAUUUUUUGGAGCCACACAAUUACAUUGGUUGCCUGUGGGACGUGAAAUUUGCCUUUCAAAAGUUUCGGUUGCUGCAGAUUAUUCAGAUUCAUUUUCUGAUUCAUCUAACUAUGUUCAUAAUCAUGGAUAUCAUCCUCUCGAAGAUCUCAAAGUUCGAAAAAGAAUCCGUGACACUAAGCUCACCCCUGCUGAAAUAGCAAGGACUACUGUUGAGGCUAACAGCAGUGCCUUGUUGAUCUUCCCUUCUACGGUACACUGUGAACCACAUGAACACAUCUCAUGGGCUGAAUUUCAGUAUGUUAUUGAUGAGUAUGGAGAUAUAUUUUUUGAAAUCUUUGAUGCUGAAAACAUCUUGCAAGAUCGUGGAGCAAGUAACCCUGUGAAUGUUUUAAUUGGGAUGGAUAUCACUACAUACGAGAACAGAAGGGUAGCUGCUGCUGAGUAUAACGUUUUAGAAACUGGUGCUAGUGAUGAUAUGCCUUUCAGUGAUGAUUAUUUUGAGGUUGAGGAUAAUGAAAUGUCUGAUAUCCCAGUUGAGUGGGGCAUGCCAAUAGAUACUGCCAGUGGUGUUCAUCCAAUAUAUUUUGCCAAGUGCUUGACAAAGGUUGUUAAUUUGGAGUAUGCUAAAAAGAUGGACCACCCGUCAAAUGGAGUUUCCAUUAUGGGUUGCCUCAGGCCUGUCUUCAUUGAUGAAGAAUUAUAUUUACGGCGACUCUUCAGUGGUGAAGAUAGUGAUGGCUACAACUCAGACUGGAAAGAUGGUGAAGUUUGGGACUUCAGAACCGAAGGUGAUGGAAACUGCACUAGCUCAACUCUCUAUAGGUUGGAGAUCAUGAGAAUAGAGCUAUUCUCCAUAUACGGUAUUCAGGUCAUAAGGAGUUCAAACAGAGCACAAAAGAAAAAUGCUGCAGCUGUCCCACACUGCUCGAGCGACCAGCUCAUCCCUCAGCUUUUGCUCUCUGUUUUAAAUUUUUCUGCACAGUUUUGCUGCCAACUCAAAAUUAUCAUUCCAACGGUUUAAAAACUUAAUUUAAAGCAUUUUAAAACCAUAAAAACAUGGAAAAAGUAUUUAUUUAUUUAUUUAUUUUUUUGAUCGGCAAAAGUUAGUGGUUAGUUGUUAGAUUAGCACAUUGGGAGAGUUGAACUCACACCCUCUCCUUGCAAGUACUAAAGUCUUGCUUCCCAUUCCACUCCUAAGGGUGGAACCCAACAGCUCCCCUUAUGUGAGACUUGAUGGCCAAAGGGCUAGCCACACACGCUACAACCCCUUGGUUUUCUUUAUUUCUUAUUUCCGUAUGUAAAUUCAAAGCUUUUCCAAAUCAAAUGCUUGAAUUCAAUGAAAACAAGUUUCAAAACUUCAGCUUUUCAGUUCUUUCUUCAAAGAUGGUUUUGAAACAAAAUCAUUCAAUUGAAAGGUUAUAAUUAGGUGUUGACGCAUGAAUUUUACCUCAAUUCAAGUUAGGAACAAAUUUAGGGCAAGAAUCCAAGCUUUCCCCUCUUCCCUUUUCUUUUUCUCCUGGCAGAUUUUCACUUUCUUUUCUUGUUUUUUCCUUAAUUUUUCCAUAGAGACACUUAUUUCUAUUUUAUACGUGUCUAUCCUCCAAGUAGGAGGUGGCAUGGCCCUAAUACGGAUGUGUGCCUACUUGUCUCUACUAAUCACACCACAAACUUUGUUAAUCUAGAUCAAUACUAAUUAAGCUAGGUUAGUUUCUAAUUAAUUAACUGAUCACACUCAAUCUUAAUUAAUCAUGCUUAAGGUUAAUUAAUCUUGAUUAAAUCUAUUAAUCAUGCUUAAUUAACACUUAUCCCGAUUAAGUUCACACAUUGCAUAGAAAUGUUAGGCACAUUGGACCAUAUCAAUUAAGCACAUUGAUUGAGGAAAUAUAAUUACAUAUUGCUUUCAUAUGCAAAAAAUUAAAAGUCUUUCUUUCUUGUCUCUAAGUUUCUUUUCAUUUCAUAUCAAAGAGAGAUCUAAGAAUUAUUUUACUCACUUAGCAUGACUAGGCAUGUUGCCCAAAGAACAAAUACUUCUAGGCCACAUCAAAAGAUUAUGCAAGCAUGUUUCCAAGUGUUUCACAUGACAAAAGAAUUCAAUUUAGCUCCAGGCAUUCAAGUAUGAAAAUAUGCAUAUGUCAUGAAAUUACACCUAGGGUGCGAUUAAGUUCACACAUUGCAUAGAAAUGUUAGGCACAUUGGACCAUAUCAAUUAAGCUCAUUGAUUAAGGAAAUAUAAUUACAUAUAGCUUCCAUAUGCAAAAAUGAAAGUCUUUCUUUCUUGUCUCUAAGUUUCUUUUCAUUUCAUAUCAAAGAGAGAUCUAAGAAUUAUUUUAUUCACUUAGCAUGACUAGGCAUGUUGCCCAAAGAACAAAUACUUCUAGGCCACAUCAAAAGAUUAUGAAAGCAUGUUUCCAAGUGUUUCACAUAACAAAAGUAUUCAAUUUAGCUCCAAGCAUUCAAGUACGAAAAUAUGCAUAUGUCAUGCAAUAACACCUAGGGUGUUACAGUUUAGGUGUGGCAGAUGCAUGUCUAAGAGUUGCCGUGAAGUAGAAGGGUAUUGUACCUAAAUGAUGUCUAAGCCAGGCAUGGUUCCUUAUCAAUUCAGUUAGUUUUGUAUCUUUAUGAAAAACUUCAAAGAUAUCUUGUUUAACCAAAAUGCGCAAAAUGUUAUUUGUGUCUCAACAUAGGAAACUAUUCAAAGAUUGGAAUGCUCUUCUUAUGAGAUUCAACCUUGAUAAAUUGUAAUUCUUAUUACUUUUCAUAUUCUUCAGUCAGCGAUUGGUUUGCAAGAUUUCCAGGAGGCCGAGCCUGAUGUUCUUGUACACUCUACUCCAGCAAUUGUAGAGCGCUUUGGUGAGAAGGGCACAAGG
Camellia sinensis is the source of this 3234-nucleotide non-coding RNA. The record is from RefSeq and is a predicted model, not a curated record. Lineage: Eukaryota; Viridiplantae; Streptophyta; Magnoliopsida; Ericales; Theaceae.